This is a long non-coding RNA of Triticum aestivum (bread wheat), 454 nucleotides long. RefSeq lists it as uncharacterized. The record is from RefSeq and is a predicted model, not a curated record. NCBI's taxonomy places the organism in Eukaryota, Viridiplantae, Streptophyta, Magnoliopsida, Poales, Poaceae. The transcript has 2 exons.
AUUGCAACUUCAUCAGGCUUUCUUUUGGGUCCUCAUGGCAGUCUUCACGAACAAUAUGGCUGUUGCCGUAUGGUUGGGGGCUCUCAUGCUCAUGGCAACCCUUCCCGCCUCAGAAGGAAACCCAGCCUUCAUUGGAUGUUUCGAGGUGCACCAGAACUGCUUCCCAGAUGACUGUCAGAAGAGAUGCGAGGACGAUCUUGGAAAAGAUACGUUAAGUGAAUGCCAGCGGGAUCAUGGCGUACUACAACCGUAUCCUGGGCUUCAGUGUUGUUGUUUUCGAAAGGACGGUAUCCGAAAUUGAUAAACAGGGUGUUUAGGUGAUGAUGGGCAGAUGAUAGAACACAUCCAUAUAUAUGAUUGUCUGUUCGAUCCACCUGUUGUACUGUAGAUCUAAUAAAUGAAUGUCUUUCAUGACAAUCAUAUUAAUUAACAAAGGCAUUAGCUGCGUCAAAAA